AUUGAACGCUGGCGGCGUGCCUAACACAUGCAAGUCGAGCGGUAACAGGUGUAGCAAUACAUGCUGACGAGCGGCGGACGGGUGAGUAACGCUUGGGAAUCUGCCUAUUAGUGGGGGACAACCCGGGGAAACGUCGGGCUAAUACCGCAUACGCUCUACGGAGGAAGCCGGGACCGCAGCCUGGCGCUAAUAGAUGAGCCCAAGUCGGAUUAGCUAGUUGGAGGGUAACGGCCUACCAAGGCUACGAUCCGUAACUGGUCUGAGAGGACGACCAGUCACACCGGAGCUGAGACACGGUCCGGACUCCUACGGGAGGCAGCAGUGGGGAAUCUUGCGCAAUGGGCGAAAGCCUGACGCAGCGACGCCGCGUGA
RNAcentral lists this ribosomal RNA (372 nucleotides) under uncultured bacterium. RNAcentral's name for it is "bacterial SSU rRNA". It matches the Rfam family "Bacterial small subunit ribosomal RNA", at positions 29 to 404 of the family's 1533-position model. The record is from RNAcentral.